Molecule: ribosomal RNA, 464 nt
Filed under: uncultured bacterium
Lineage: Bacteria
Description: partial 16S ribosomal RNA
Rfam family: Bacterial small subunit ribosomal RNA
Source: RNAcentral
CUACGGGAUGCUCCAGUGGGGAAUAUUGCACAAUGGGCGCAAGCCUGAUGCAGCCAUGCCGCGUGUAUGAAGAAGGCCUUCGGGUUGUAAAGUACUUUCAGCGGGGAGGAAGGGAGUAAAGUUAAUACCUUUGCUCAUUGACGUUACCCGCAGAAGAAGCACCGGCGAACUCCGUGCCAGCAGCCGCGGUAAUACGGAGGGUGCAAGCGUUAAUCGGAAUUACUGGGCGUAAAGCGCACGCAGGCGGUUUGUUAAGUCAGAUGUGAAAUCCCCGGGCUCAACCUGGGAACGGCAUCUGAUACUGUCAAGCUUGAGUCUCGUAGAGGGGGGUAGAAUUCCAGGUGUAGCGGUGAAAUGCGUAGAGAUCUGGAGGAAUACCGGUGGCGAAGGCGGCCCCCUGGACGAAGACUGACGCUCAGGUGCGAAAGCGUGGGGAGCAAACAGGAUUAGAUACCCUUGUAGUC